UGGCCCGGCUCCGUUGUCACAUGUGCGACUGACGGCCCCGGCUACCGGGUAUGACAUCUGAAGCCAGGUUAGGGCGCACGUGAGGAGAAGGCACCACUCGAGUGGAAUAAGGGGUGGUGAUCGGGCGAGUGUAUUCGUGUGUGUGUGUGUGUGAUUCUGUGCCUCACCUCUGAUAAUGGCCAGCUUUGCGGUGACGGACACCUCUCCUCCACUGUUGCGUGCCACACACUCGUAGAUGUUCUCAUCGCGGGGAGCUCUGAGAGGUUGGAUCCUCAGCACAGCGCCUGCGCCCUCAUCAAACUCGAUGGUCUGGACAACCACAGGAAAAUACCCAUCAGUCACAGCAGAGGACACACAUGGAACACUAGCAACACAAGAGGUCAGGCACAGAUGCAGAACAUGUACCUGGAGACAUGAUCCCGGAGCUGGCAGGGUCUGUCACAAAGACACUUCAGCUGGGAACAAACUUACCAGCAUUGGAGUAGACGGCAGGCUUGGGAUUACCAGAGGCCUGGCACACAAAUGAUGCCACGCCCCCUGACACUCCGAUCUGGUCUGUGGGAAUCUUGGUGAACUUUGGGGGACCUGGGAGACAGAGACAGACAGAGAGGAAGGGAUGGAGGGAGAGAAAAAGAAAAAGAAAGAAAAAUCAAAACACAAGCAUGAAAAUUGACACCCUUUACACCCAAGGGACAUCAAAACGACCGGCAACAACACCCUGCUGACCACGCCCCAUUUUUUCUGUCGGUGACUGCCUGGUCAGGCCGACUUGUGUUCUGAUGGCUGUGUGUUGUGCUUACUUCCUGGGUAUCAUCUAGAGGACACGCUGAAGGACUUCCUGUGGGUCAUAAAUAAAAGAUGGGGUUGGGCUUCGGAGGAA
Long non-coding RNA from Scophthalmus maximus (turbot), 880 nucleotides. RefSeq lists it as uncharacterized. The transcript has 3 exons. NCBI's taxonomy places the organism in Eukaryota, Metazoa, Chordata, Actinopteri, Pleuronectiformes, Scophthalmidae. The record is from RefSeq and is a predicted model, not a curated record.